GAUUUCUCCCCGUGGAAUAGGGGCGCGAAGGCUGCCCUGUCACACACGGCCCAAGAGAUUGAUUACCUGGGCUCUGGCAGCCUCUCUGGUGACAGUGACAGGGACUGGGAACCUGGGAGCUUCUCAGCAUCUCCUUUUCACACUCUGCCUCUGAGCAGCUGGGAAUCCUUACCCCUCCAAUCUCCUGACUGCUCAUCUCCCUGGAGCCAGGACCCUGAAUCAGUAUUCACGGCCUGUUAGUGGCUUGCAAGGCAGAGCAGACAGAUGGACGUGCUCGGGAAGCCUAUUGAUCAGCCCUUGGUGUGACCUGCCCAGACCUGGUUCUGUUUCAAGCACUGAUCACGUGGACAAGGAGUCCUUAAUUCCUCUCAGCACCAUUUGAGAUGAGCAACUACACAAGACAAAGACGAAAGGCUUUUUCAGCUCAAAAAUCCUGUGAUUCUUUGAUUCUAAGAAGAGAUUUUCUUACAAGGAGUUUGCCUAAGGUUUGGCCUCCUCUCCAGCCUGUGACUACUGGGAAGACAGGGCACCUGUCCUAUUCACCUUUGUAUCUCUGGUGUCUCACUCAGGAUCCGGCACAGUGCUUGCCAAGGACCUGCUAUGCGCCAGGGGCUGCUGGAGCUGGGAACCUAAUGAUCACAGUGUCAGCCUCUGCCAGCCUUUGUGUGUGUGGCAGGGGUUGUUUUGAGUCCCACCAUCUUCCAUCCCUGAUGCUUGGAGAAGCUGAGGACACACAGGAAUGGAGGCUGGGCACGGUCGCUCACACAUAAUCCCGGCACUUUGGGAGGCAAAGGUGGAUCACUUGAGCUCAGGAGUUCAAGACCAGCCUGAGCAACACAGUGAGAUCUCAUAUCUACAAAACAUCCGGAAAAUUAGCUGGGCGUCGUGACAUGUUCCUGUGGUACUAGCUCCUUGGAAGGCUGAGGUCGGGGUAUUGCUUAAGCCUGGAAGGUGAAGGCUGCUGCAGUGAGCCAUGAUAGCGCCACUGCACUCCAGCCUGGGCAACAGAGCAAGACCCUGUCUCAAAAAAAAAAAAAAAAAAAAA
Homo sapiens (human) is the source of this 1045-nucleotide long non-coding RNA. Ensembl annotates it as long intergenic non-protein coding RNA 299. Lineage: Eukaryota; Metazoa; Chordata; Mammalia; Primates; Hominidae. The record is from Ensembl.